This 657-nucleotide ribosomal RNA is filed under the name Enterococcus faecium. RNAcentral describes it as "bacterial SSU rRNA". It matches the Rfam family "Bacterial small subunit ribosomal RNA", at positions 49 to 677 of the family's 1533-position model. The record is from RNAcentral. Lineage: Bacteria; Bacillati; Bacillota; Bacilli; Lactobacillales; Enterococcaceae.
CUAUACAUGCAAGUCGAACGCUUCUUUUUCCACCGGAGCUUGCUCCACCGGAAAAAGAAGAGUGGCGAACGGGUGAGUAACACGUGGGUAACCUGCCCAUCAGAAGGGGAUAACACUUGGAAACAGGUGCUAAUACCGUAUAACAAUCAAAACCGCAUGGUUUUGAUUUGAAAGGCGCUUUCGGGUGUCGCUGAUGGAUGGACCCGCGGUGCAUUAGCUAGUUGGUGAGGUAACGGCUCACCAAGGCCACGAUGCAUAGCCGACCUGAGAGGGUGAUCGGCCACAUUGGGACUGAGACACGGCCCAAACUCCUACGGGAGGCAGCAGUAGGGAAUCUUCGGCAAUGGACGAAAGUCUGACCGAGCAACGCCGCGUGAGUGAAGAAGGUUUUCGGAUCGUAAAACUCUGUUGUUAGAGAAGAACAAGGAUGAGAGUAACUGUUCAUCCCUUGACGGUAUCUAACCAGAAAGCCACGGCUAACUACGUGCCAGCAGCCGCGGUAAUACGUAGGUGGCAAGCGUUGUCCGGAUUUAUUGGGCGUAAAGCGAGCGCAGGCGGUUUCUUAAGUCUGAUGUGAAAGCCCCCGGCUCAACCGGGGAGGGUCAUUGGAAACUGGGAGACUUGAGUGCAGAAGAGGAGAGUGGAAUUCCAUGUGUA